Mauremys mutica (yellowpond turtle) is the source of this 387-nucleotide long non-coding RNA. RefSeq lists it as uncharacterized. The transcript has 4 exons. Lineage: Eukaryota; Metazoa; Chordata; Testudines; Geoemydidae. The record is from RefSeq and is a predicted model, not a curated record.
GACUGAUAAGAGGACUGUGAUGGAACUGUCUUGCUUGUCCAGGCUCUGAGGUAGGGAUGGGACCAAGCUGCAAACUUCAUGUACUGACCUGUGGCUGCUUAACUACGGGUAGUAGAAUCAAACCUGGGACUGUCAGUACCAAAAGUGCACAUCCUUACUACUUGAGCUAAAGGAUCCACCAUAGAGUAGUAAACCCAAGAAACGCAGACAAAAUCAUUUGGUCCUGGACCGGAUCUUUCAGGAACAUCCCAGCGUUAUUUCUUCACCAUAGGACGAAGAGCCUGAAUCAUUGCAGUGGGAGAGCUGACUGUACCUGCUUGUUGCUGGUGUUGAGAGUCCCAGGUCUGCAGAUCACCAGAGGGCCCACUAAGCCGGAACUGGUAUCUU